CCUACGGGAGGCAGCAGUGGGGAAUAUUGCACAAUGGGGGAAACCCUGAUGCAGCGACGCCGCGUGAAGGAAGAAGUAUUUCGGUAUGUAAACUUCUAUCAGCAGGGAAGAAAAUGACGGUACCUGAGUAAGAAGCCCCGGCUAACUACGUGCCAGCAGCCGCGGUAAUACGUAGGGGGCAAGCGUUAUCCGGAUUUACUGGGUGUAAAGGGAGCGUAGACGGCAGUGCAAGUCUGGAGUGAAAGGCGGGGGCUCAACCCCCGGACUGCUCUGGAAACUGUACGGCUGGAGUGCAGGAGAGGUAAGUGGAAUUCCUAGUGUAGCGGUGAAAUGCGUAGAUAUUAGGAGGAACACCAGUGGCGAAGGCGGCUUACUGGACUGUAACUGACGUUGAGGCUCGAAAGCGUGGGGAGCAAACAGGAUUAGAUACCCCUGUAGUC
RNAcentral lists this ribosomal RNA (440 nucleotides) under uncultured bacterium. RNAcentral's name for it is "partial 16S ribosomal RNA". It matches the Rfam family "Bacterial small subunit ribosomal RNA", at positions 338 to 795 of the family's 1533-position model. The record is from RNAcentral.